GAUAACGCGAUGAAAAAGAAAGUAAAGUAAGGAUAUGCGCCAAAGAGAGUUCCUGGCUGGUGAGAGGGAAUGCAAAUAACUUAUUUGAAAAUGGCUUUUGAGUGGAUUUCCCGAAACGUUUAAGGAAAUACGGUUGCCCCCGUUAACUAGGCACAGUCUCCAAUGAUUUGGGUACUGAUCGAGGUAGAGUCUGUGAAGUCUUUACAUUUAAAGGUGGUAACGCAUGUCCAAUGCCCUUAGC
Molecule: non-coding RNA, 241 nt
Filed under: Enterococcus hermanniensis
Lineage: Bacteria; Bacillati; Bacillota; Bacilli; Lactobacillales; Enterococcaceae
Description: T-box sequence
Rfam family: T-box leader
About the family: Uncharged tRNA acts as the effector for transcription antitermination of genes in the T-box leader family. T-boxes are found upstream of many aminoacyl-tRNA synthetase genes and some amino acid biosynthetic genes usually in Gram-positive bacteria. The anticodon of a specific tRNA base pairs to a specifier sequence within the T-box motif, and the NCCA acceptor tail of the tRNA base pairs to a conserved bulge in the T-box antiterminator hairpin.
Source: RNAcentral